CCUACGGGUGGCAGCAGUGAGGAAUAUUGGUCAAUGGACGAGAGUCUGAACCAGCCAAGUAGCGUGAAGGAUGACUGCCCUAUGGGUUGUAAACUUCUUUUAUAUGGGAAUAAAACGUUCCACGUGUGGGAUUUUGUAUGUACCAUAUGAAUAAGGAUCGGCUAACCUCGUGCCAGCAGCCGCGGCAAUACGGGGGAUCCGAUCGUUAUCCGGAUGUGUUGGGGUUAAAGGGAGCGUAGGUGGAGUGUUAAGUCAGUUGUGAAAGGUUGUGGCUCAACCGUGAAACUGCAGUUGAAACUGGCAGUCUUGAGUACAGUAGAGGUGGGCGGAAUUCGUGGUGUAGCGGUGAAAUGCUUAGAGAUCACGAAGAACUCCGAUUGCGAAGGCAGUUCACUGGACUGCAACUGACGCUGAGGCUCGAAAGUGUGGGUAUCAAACAGGAUUAGAUACCCUAGUAGUC
RNAcentral lists this ribosomal RNA (460 nucleotides) under uncultured bacterium. Its description in RNAcentral is "partial 16S ribosomal RNA". It matches the Rfam family "Bacterial small subunit ribosomal RNA", at positions 338 to 795 of the family's 1533-position model. The record is from RNAcentral.